AUUGAACGCUGGCGGCGGGCUUAACACAUGCAAGUCGAGCGGAUGAAGGGAACUGGCACCUGCAGUCAGAGGCGGACGGGUGAGUAAUGCCUAGGAAUAUGCCCGGUAGGGUGGGAUAACGCCCGCAAACGGGUGACAAUACCACAUACGUCCUGAGGCCGAAUGAGGCGGCAGUUCGGACUGCACGCGGUCAGAUAAGCCUAGGUCGGAUUAGCUAGUUGGUGGGGUAAAGGCCUACCAAGGCGACGAUCCGUAACUGGUCUCAGAGGAAGAACAGUCACCCGGGAACUGAGACACGCUCCAGACUCCUAGGCGGAGCAGCAGUGGGGAAUAUUAGACGAUGCGCGAGAGCCUGAUCCAGCCAUGCCGCGUGUGUGCAGAAGGUCUUCGGAUUGUAAAGCGCUUUAAGUUGGGGGUAAGGGCAGUAAGUUCAUCCCUGGAUAUUUUGACGUUACCAGCAGAAUAAGCACCGGCUAACUUCGUG
Molecule: ribosomal RNA, 484 nt
Filed under: uncultured bacterium
Lineage: Bacteria
Description: partial 16S ribosomal RNA
Rfam family: Bacterial small subunit ribosomal RNA
Source: RNAcentral